UUUUCAACACUCUCUUUUCCGGCCAUCAUAGAUCGUUUUAGGGAGUGGUCUUGGAUCUCGUUUUGCAAUUAGGCCAAUACCAGAUCAAGAGUGGUAGACCGUGGUGGAUCUUGAAAGACUGCCUGUAGAUGUUGCUUGUCCUGUUGUAAAAUUGUAGUCCUUGUCAUUGUCUAUCACUAUGUUCCUGUAUUUUGUAUUUCUAGACUUCUUGUAUCUUUGCAUUGUGUACUUUGUAGAGUCUGUAAUCCUGUAACCCAGUUGGCUUGUUAUAGUUUUGUUUGUCCUAAAUCAGGUUCUGAAGCCUUGCAUGUCUACUUGGUUCACGCCUUGUGGAUCUGCGGCUGUUUGUCUGCGCACCGGGUCCGGCGAGCCGGGUUCGGGGCGCGACAAAUAGAGCUUAUGACCAGUGCUAGAAGUAAAGACAUGGAGA
This is a long non-coding RNA of Dioscorea cayenensis subsp. rotundata (Guinea yam), 430 nucleotides long. RefSeq lists it as uncharacterized. The transcript has 3 exons. The record is from RefSeq and is a predicted model, not a curated record. Lineage: Eukaryota; Viridiplantae; Streptophyta; Magnoliopsida; Dioscoreales; Dioscoreaceae.